AUUGAACGCUGGCGGCAGGCCUAACACAUGCAAGUCGAACGAGUGGCGGACGGGUGAGUAAUGUCUGGGAAACUGCCCGAUGGAGGGGGAUAACUACUGGAAACGGUAGCUAAUAACGCAUACCAUCGGAUGUGCCCAGAUGGGGUUAGCUCGUCGGUGGGGUAACGGCUCACCUAGGCGACGAUCGCUAGCUGGUCUGAGAGGAUGACCAGCCACACUGGAACUGAGACACGGUCCAGACCCCUACGGGAGGAAGCAGUGGGGAAUAUUGCACAAUGGGCGAAAGCCUGAUGCGGCCAUGCCGCGUGUAUGAGGAAGGCCUUCGGUUUGUAAAGUCCUUUCAGCGGGGAGGCGUUACCCGCAGAAGAAGCGCCGGCUAACUCCGUGCCAGCAGCCGCGGUAAUAC
RNAcentral lists this ribosomal RNA (406 nucleotides) under uncultured bacterium. RNAcentral describes it as "partial 16S ribosomal RNA". It matches the Rfam family "Bacterial small subunit ribosomal RNA", at positions 30 to 526 of the family's 1533-position model. The record is from RNAcentral.